AUGGCUGUUCGCCAUUUAAAGUGGUACGCGAGCUGGGUUUAGAACGUCGUGAGACAGUUCGGUCCCUAUCUGCCGUGGGCGCUGGAGAAUUGAGGGGGGCUGCUCCUAGUACGAGAGGACCGGAGUGGACGCAUCACUGGUGUUCGGGUUGUCAUGCCAAUGGCACUGCCCGGUAGCUAAAUGCGGAAGAGAUAAGUGCUGAAAGCAUCUAAGCACGAAACUUGCCCCGAGAUGAGUUCUCCCUGAGACUUUAAGUCUCCUGAAGGAACGUUGAAGACGACGACGUUGAUAGGCCGGGUGUGUAAGCGCAGCGAUGCGUUGAGCUAACCGGUACUAAUGAACCGUGAGGCUUAACCUUACAACGCCGAAG
Molecule: ribosomal RNA, 370 nt
Filed under: Klebsiella variicola
Lineage: Bacteria; Pseudomonadati; Pseudomonadota; Gammaproteobacteria; Enterobacterales; Enterobacteriaceae
Description: partial 23S ribosomal RNA
Rfam family: Bacterial large subunit ribosomal RNA
Source: RNAcentral